GGUUUGUCACAAGCUGACUUGUUUUGAUUGUUAAUAUAACUUGCUUGCUGAUUUGUAGUUAGAAAAAUAUUUUAGGGUUGUGAGUAUUGUUAGAGAAAUUAAUUUAUUGCGAUAGAGGAUAGUACUGUGAGGGAAAAUUGAAAAUAGUUGGGGAAUUAAGUUGAAAGUAUAGGUAAAAUUUAGUACCUUGUGUAUUAGGGAUACUUCAUAUCAGGUAGUUAGAUGUACUUCUCCCGAAAUAAGGAUAGCUAAGUUGGGGGGUGAGUUUUUGUCGUAAAAAGAUUUAUAACCUUAUUUUAGUGGCGAAAUGUUAGUCGAGCCUUAAGAUAUCUGGUUUUCUUUGAAAAAAAUUAAAUUUUUUCUUUAUGCUACAGGUUAGAAUAGAUAGGGCAUUGGUAUAGGGGGGUUAAGCUCUUUAUACAAGAUAUUUGAUUAUGGAGAUGAAUAAUAGAUAGUAUUAGACUAGGCUUAGAAGCAGCCAUGUUUUCAAUGGGUUAUACCUGAGGUAUGUGUUUAAAAUAUUUAUAUUUGUUUUUAGUGCUAGUAGAAGAGAGCUAUUUUAAGUUCAAUUUAAUAGUUUAAAAUGAGUAUAUUAGUAUAUAUAAGGUUAUUGUUUUAUAAUUUUAUUAGGGAGUUUAAUAAAUUUAAAAAGGGAGGGACGAAAUGAAGGAAUUCGGCAAAGGGUUUAUUUCCGCCUGUUUAUCAAAAACAUGUCUAUAUGGGGAUAUAUAUAGUCUGGCCUGCCCACUGAGGGGGUUUAAGGGCCGCGGUAUUAUGACCGUGCGAAGGUAGCAUAAUCAUUAGUCUUUUAAUUGGGGGCUGGUAUGAAUGGUCGGACGAGAAAUGAGCUGUCUUAAGUUUUGAACAUUGAACUUAACUUUUAAGUGAAAAGGCUUAAAUGGGCUAGAGGGACGAUAAGACCCUAUAAAGUUUGACAUUAAAUUAAUUAAAGGUGAUUUAGGUCAUUAAAGUCUUAUUAUUAUAUAAGUGUUUAGUUGGGGCGACUAGGAUAUAAGUGAUUUAACUGUUUUCUUCGUUCGAGUCAAGAAUAUUUGAGUGUAUGAUCCUUUUUUAGGAUUUUAGAGUAAAUUACUUUAGGGAUAACAGCGUAAUUUUUUUGGAGAGUUCUUAUCGAUAAGAGAGUUUGCGACCUCGAUGUUGAAUUAAAAUUUCUUUGUAAUGCAGCAGUUACAAGAGGAGGUCUGUUCGACCUUUAAAUUUUUACAUGAUUUGAGUUCAGACCGGCGUGAGCCAGGUUGGUUUCUAUCUUCUAGAGAGAUAUAGAAUUGUUUUAGUACGAAAGGAUUAAAUAAUUGAAAUAGUUUUGAAAAAUGGAAGCUCAAUUUUUGGUGUAUUUAUUACUAUGCCGUCAGAAAAAAAGUCAA
RNAcentral lists this ribosomal RNA (1385 nucleotides) under Cherax setosus. Its description in RNAcentral is "16S ribosomal RNA". The stretch from base 645 to 1385 matches the Rfam family "Archaeal large subunit ribosomal RNA", at positions 1423 to 2847 of the family's 2987-position model. Lineage: Eukaryota; Metazoa; Arthropoda; Malacostraca; Decapoda; Parastacidae. The record is from RNAcentral.